This 73-nucleotide transfer RNA is filed under the name Canis lupus dingo (dingo). It matches the Rfam family "tRNA". Rfam says of the family: Transfer RNA (tRNA) molecules are approximately 80 nucleotides in length. Their secondary structure includes four short double-helical elements and three loops (D, anti-codon, and T loops). Further hydrogen bonds mediate the characteristic L-shaped molecular structure. tRNAs have two regions of fundamental functional importance: the anti-codon, which is responsible for specific mRNA codon recognition, and the 3' end, to which the tRNAs corresponding amino acid is attached (by aminoacyl-tRNA synthetases). tRNAs cope with the degeneracy of the genetic code in two manners: having more than one tRNA (with a specific anti-codon) for a particular amino acid; and 'wobble' base-pairing, i.e. permitting non-standard base-pairing at the 3rd anti-codon position. The record is from Rfam by way of RNAcentral. Lineage: Eukaryota; Metazoa; Chordata; Mammalia; Carnivora; Canidae.
ACCUGGCAGGCUCAGUCGGUAGAGCAUGUGACUUCUGAUCUUGGGGUCGUGAGUUCAAGCCCCACGUUGGGUA